GAUGAACGCUGGCGGCGUGCCUAAUACAUGCAAGUCGAGCGAACGGACGAGAAGCUUGCUUUUCUGAUGUUAGCGGCGGACGGGUGAGUAACACGUGGAUAACCUACCUAUAAGACUGGGAUAACUUCGGGAAACCGGAGCUAAUACCGGAUAAUAUUUUGAACCGCAUGGUUCAAAAGUGAGAGACGGUCUUGCUGUCACUUAUAGAUGGAUCCGCGCUGCAUUAGCUAGUUGGUAAGGUAACGGCUUACCAAGGCAACGAUGCAUAGCCGACCUGAGAGGGUGAUCGGCCACACUGGAACUGAGACACGGUCCAGACUCCUACGGGAGGCAGCAGUAGGGAAUCUUCCGCAAUGGGCGAAAGCCUGACGGAGCAACGCCGCGUGAGUGAUGAAGGUCUUCGGAUCGUAAAACUCUGCUAUUAGGGAAGAACAUAUGUGUAAGUAACUGUGCACAUCUUGACGGUACCUAAUCAGAAAGCCACGGCUAACUACGUG
Molecule: ribosomal RNA, 497 nt
Filed under: uncultured bacterium
Lineage: Bacteria
Description: partial 16S ribosomal RNA
Rfam family: Bacterial small subunit ribosomal RNA
Source: RNAcentral